Pangasianodon gigas (Mekong giant catfish) is the source of this 72-nucleotide non-coding RNA. Lineage: Eukaryota; Metazoa; Chordata; Actinopteri; Siluriformes; Pangasiidae. The record is from the annotation of a GenBank genome assembly.
UAGGAUGUAGCUCAGUGGUAGAGUGCAUACUCUGCGUGUAUGCGGUCCUGCAUUCAAAUCCCAGCAUCUCCA